UCAACGGUUCUUUUCAGGACCAUAGAAAAGUAUUCCUGAAGAGAUGU
Non-coding RNA from Aedes albopictus (Asian tiger mosquito), 47 nucleotides. The record is from Rfam. NCBI's taxonomy places the organism in Eukaryota, Metazoa, Arthropoda, Insecta, Diptera, Culicidae.